CCUAGCGCAUUCUACCGUUCAUAACGCGAACUGCCAACCACCCCUCGGUGGCACCCCCGAAAUAUAUUUCGCACACGGAAAAGGGGGACCGAUGCCAAUUAUAUUUUAAUAUCUCCUAGCGCUACUGUAUUUAUAUAGCCACAUAGAACCCCGCGGAAUACCGAGCUUCAAUUAUAGAAAUCCUUGAUUAUCGAGAGCUCACUUUGUCCAAAUGUUUGCACCGGAUAUAACGCGCGAACAACAAUUUUUUUUUCCCCGUUUACCUCAUCGUCUUGACAUACCUGUACACGUAAAUUCGUAAAACGUAUGCCCACAUGCGCCGUUCGUCAUCGCUCAACAGCUGGUCCUCGACUAUUUAUACUCACAUAUUGAUACGAGUGUGUAGAUUGUUAUAAACUUUAUAUUACGCCGAAAAGUUUUUUUUUUUUUUUCUAUCUCAUCAACGUACGCAAACGCUUACGAAUUCGAUAUAACAUUAUACACGUGAAUUGUGUAAAGUACACGCACGUACAGCUGUUGAGCCAACGAUAAGCGUAACGACCUUUAAAUCGAAAAUAACUUAUAUCCACGCUACGCAUGAUAUGUGCGGCAACCUGAUCAUGAACCGCGUAACGAUCGUUCGUUAUAAUCGUUCGUACGUGUUGACAUCUAUUUUCCAUUUCCUUGAGGAUUUUUUUUGUUCCACGAUAUGAUUGCGAACUAUACCGUUCACGCUCGUAGACGGUGUCGCGUAGAUAUCCUUGGCUGAAAUAAAAACGAUCGGAGAUUUUUCCCUUUUAUACAUUCGCGUUCGAAAGGGCCGUUUAAAAAAGGCGCAUGCGCCCACCCCUGUUUUAAAUCUGAGGUGAGCGCCCCCCAGUGUGUAUUCCGCAUCGCUGAGCAUUUCCACCAUUCAGAAUCGAUGAUGUCACGUGAGGGGUUUUGGUAUCCCGGCAAGGGAUCGCGAGAGCGUGAGGUGGGGACGAAAUCUCCGUUCCGAUUGGCGGAUACGCGCGUCCACCCCGUACCUCGACUCCCAAAAGGGUGGUCGCAGCGUGCCCUUUUCCCCGCUCCCGUCCCGUCCCUUUCCCUUUCCCUUUAUCCACCCCGUGUCUGCUAGUCAGUCUACGCGCGAUGUAAGUCCCAACCUGACCCGAGAACUGAAAAGCAGCGCGAUAUGCCCGUGAACGGGAUCGCGGUCCUCGUAGGUAACCCACGUUGCUCCCACCCCUGUUUCUGGCCACCAUCCCUCCCCGCCCCUCAACCCUCCUACUAAACACGAAACCAAGCCCCGUCCCCUCGCUCCUCUCGGUCCUCGUCCUCCUCUUUCACGCUCGGCCCACCUCCUCCUACUUCCAACGCUUGCACCACCACCACCACCGCCGCCACAACUACCCACCCCACGUAAAACUGGAAGAGCUUUUGCGAGCUCUCAAAUCCUAAAGACCAUCGCGCGCGCCCAAACGUAGAGCACCUCCGUCGAAAGAGCUGCUGGAACGUUACCGACGCCGUGCCACAUCUACUGUCGCCGUGAGCGCACGCGGUACACAUCGAAUUAAAACCGCUCCGGCACCUUGGUUUUCGCUUAGUUUUUGGACGCUGACAGUGCGGUAUCCAUCUAUAUGUAUGUGCAUCCGGAUUUAUACACACGUAAAAUAUAAACGCAUUCGACGCUCGAAAUUUAUACGGAUCAGGAAAAAGACAAAUUAUUGCCGAGAUGAUGAUUUGACGAAAAUUUUUCAUGACAAUUUCACCGAAACACAAAACACACAAGCACACACACACGCGCAUUUAAAAAUAAAAAAAAAACCUAACGUGCCUCGCGUCCAUUGGCGAAUUUAUCACCAGAGUACGUAAUUAAUAAACUAAACGUAUUAGACAAAUAAAUUAUCGUCAAUUUAGAGAAUUCGACGAUCCGCAAGGGUUCGAAAUAAUUUCAAGGAAAAAUCUUAAUCCUUCGUUCCCCAACAGUGAUUAAACGAGUGAUGUUAAAAAUUGACAGCCAAGUUUUAAUAUAUAUUGUGGAAUAUAAUUGAUGGUUUUUAUUUUCUUUCCGUUAUUUACUUUUUUUCGUUUUCUUCAUAAUUCGUCGUCGUCGUCGGUAUACGGGGUUUUUUUAACGUAACUUCGUAAAUGAACCGGAGUUCGAGCACGAGCUUCGUGCCCUAUGCACCCUUACGGAAGAACGAGAACAUUUUACCCGCGGAAUAUGGUUCACAUAUGAAAAUACAGGCGUUUAUCAUUUACGAUUAUUUGAAAGUUGCUCGAUUAAACUGUGCAACUUUGCUAUAAUACACGAUUAUAUCUCAUGUGUAUUGUAAGCUAAUUAUCAAGUUCGUCUCAACCGAGUCUGUGGCGCUGUUACAUGAACUGUCAAUCGCUCAGCAGCUGAUGGGACCCUUACAUCGCGAUUGACUUCCACCCCGAGAACGAUACAUAGAACAAUUUUUCCUUUUUUCCUCAAAAUAUUUAACAUCAAUAACUAAAAACAGUGCAAAUAUACAUCCGUCGUAAGGACUGCCGAACUCACGGUAGACAUACGACUAGAACUACUUAAUAAGGCAAGUGGUAAUUGUAAGCAGUGAAAAAGGACUUAUUCGACGGCCGACGGGAGAGCAAUAUUGUGACCCAGACGCUUCAAAAGGCCCGAAGAUUCUGCCUUCGCAGCAAUUGGGGGCUGCGGUCGCUCCAUGGCCGGGCGCUACCGGCCUCCUCGCUUCGGUGACAGCUGACGACAUGGCUCACAAAGGUCACAGCGGGGUGAACCAGCUGGGAGGUGUCUUUGUCGGAGGUCGACCUCUACCGGAUUCAACGAGGCAAAAGAUCGUAGAACUGGCGCAUUCGGGUGCGAGACCUUGCGACAUAUCGCGAAUACUUCAAGUGAGCAACGGAUGCGUCUCGAAGAUCCUUGGCAGCAGGUACUAUGAGACGGGUUCGAUCAGACCGCGGGCAAUCGGUGGUAGCAAGCCACGCGUCGCUACCGCUGAAGUUGUCAACAAAAUAUCGUUGUACAAGAGGGAAUGCCCGUCGAUAUUCGCUUGGGAAAUAAGAGACCGUUUACUUCAGGAAGGCGUUUGCACCAACGACAAUAUCCCUAGCGUCUCGUCGAUCAACCGAGUUCUCCGAAAUCUCGCCGCUCAGAAGGAACAAACGCAGCAACAGCAACAACAGCAGCAAAGUGUCGGGGUCGGAGUCGGAGUCGGUGUGGGCGUUGGGGUGGGCGCUGGAAGUCCGGCGGAAAGUGUCUACGACAAACUGAGGCUAUUGAACGGUCAGGCCACCGGAUGGCCGAGACCGAAUCCAUGGUACCCUUCCGGUCCCGGGAGUCCGUUUCCGUCCCUGCAGCCCAGUCUGAGUCCGAGUCAUUGUUCGGCGUUGCCACCGGACACAGCGGAUAUCCUUCACGCGAAAAAGGUUGCCGAAUUGGAGGGCGGCGCGCAUUCGGACGAGACAAACAGCGGCGGGGACAACAGUAACGCAGGUAGCAUUUCCGGAGGCGGUGAAGACGACCAGGCGAGACUCCGUCUGAAAAGAAAACUGCAAAGAAACAGAACGAGCUUCAGCAACGAGCAAAUCGACGCGCUGGAAAAGGAAUUCGAGAGGACCCACUACCCCGAUGUAUUCGCCAGGGAGAGACUCGCCGCCAAAAUUGGACUACCCGAAGCUCGCAUCCAGGUGUGGUUUUCCAAUCGGCGGGCAAAGUGGAGACGCGAGGAAAAGCUGCGUACCCAACGGAGGGACAACCCGCAACAGUCGCACGGCGGAGGGGUCGGUCUGGUCAGCGGUCAUCCGACACCUCCACCUCCCCCGCCGCCGCACGCGCCACCCUCUCCGCCAAGGAUUCAUCACGGAUUCGCGCCCUCCGCGGUCUACCCAGGGAUUCCCAGCAUGCCGGACUCCUACAGCCCUAUGACGUCGAUGCCGAGCUUCGCCAUGUCCUCGCCGAGUCAGCAAGGUCAGCAUUCGGGUCCCGGUAUGACGGGUGGCGGAGGUAUGGGCCCGAUGGGCAUGAGCGUCGGGAUGACGGUGGGUCCUAGCCCCGGGGCGUGUCUCCAGCAACGCGACAACGGAUAUUCCUGCGGCGUAGCGCGACCGCCGAGUUACGAACCUCUUCAUCUCGGCUACGGCGCAAGGCCGACCUGCAGCCCCACGCAACCGUAUCACACCGCGGGGUUGAACCAGUACAACCAGAAUACCAGCUCGACCGGUGAGUGUCUACCACACUCGCUGCACUCCCUCCAUUCGCUGCUCGCUCUCUAGCCACAGGAGAGCUGGAUCUACCACGGAUCCGUCGGGACGUACUAUUGAGCGGUCUCAUCUCGCCAGGAGUGAGUGUGCCGAUCGCGGUACCGGGGCAACCAGCACCAGACAUGGCAGCCCAAUAUUGGUCUCCGCGACUCCAGUGACCGUGGUGGGCUUCGACGUCGACUUCCGGUCCCUAGGCGAGACGAGGCCCCUACCUCAUUCCUUUAAUGACAAUUAAAUCGUGAGCCGCGCAGCCGGCCCUCGACUGCGUUUCGGAAAUUAAAAAAAAUUCGAAAGUUUCUUUGAAAAAUUCACCACCGUUUCACGAGGAUUGCGCGAUACGAUCAGGCGAGAAUUGCAGACGUUAUAGUUUCGUCGUUAGUCGAAGAGUUCGCAACCGUUGUCCCUGAAAGAGCAUUGCGCCGGUCGGAUACCGUUAAAGAAAAACCAUUGACGUUCGAUGAUGAAAAAGAGGAGAAGGAGAAGUAAGAAAACAAGACGUUACGUCACGCUCAACUUUUCCCGCAAUCACUGUACGAUACGACAUACAUAUUAUAUGCACUCGACGCUCAAACUCGAUUAUUCUUUUUCUAUCAAAAUUUUUUCAAUUUUUCGCUCUCUCUCUCUCUCUCUUUCUCCUUUUCUCGUUUUUCCCCCCUCUCUAUAAUUAUUGAUGAAAAAAAAAUCACUUAUAUAUUAAAAUACUACAUGCAUACUUACAAUUAGCGGGUUAUUAUACAUGUAAAUAUAUUAAACAAAAAAAAAAAAAAAAUUCAAGAAAAAAUAUGAGCCAUAUACUUAUAUAUAUAUAUAUAAAUAUAUGUAUAAACAUACCUACCUCUGUAAGACAGAGCUCAAAAAAAAAAAAAAAAAUCCUCGAUAUAUCUGAUAUUUAUUAAUAUAACUUUGUACACCUGCAACUCGCCAUUCCCGCCCACCAACGUUAGUACAAUAGCGAUAUGUACAUGAUAAAUUAAAACUGAUAUUAUUAUUAUUAUCAUUAUUAUUACUAAUCAUUAUUAUUGUCAUUAUCCUUAUUAUUCUUGAUACGAUCAUCAUUGCAGUAUACGUACCUUCGAUGAGUACAUGCAUAUAUACCGUCGUAUAUCGGGUAGAUCAGCAGCGAUGCGUACGAGUUACGCACAUUGAUGAUAUCGUAUUCAUCGCACGUAGAAAACAAGCCCGUUACAUACGUAUGUAUAUAUAAUGUGAGUAUAUACAUAUGUAUCAAUAGGUUGUAGUACACAGUAUACAUAUGUAGGUAGAAUGGUAAUUUUUGGCCCCAGCGGCACACGUUGGUACAAAUCCCGAGGUUAUUAUUAUUCUCAUUAUGUAAUGAUUUUUAUUUUUUAUUAAUUCAAUUGAAGUUAUUAUCAUUAUUGACAUCAAUGGUGUUGUUGUGUAACAUAUUAUUAUUAUUAUUAUUAUUAUCAUCAGCGCUAUUUACUAAAAUCAUAAUUAUUACAUGGCAUACCCUGCACGUUUGUUCGUGUAUACCAUGUGUCCCAGCGUUUACGUUGCAGUUUGUCUGGUUGCCUUACGUUAUAUCGGUAAGUCAAACCAAGCUGGUCCGCGAAUGGACGUGGUGCUAUAGGAAAAGUGGCACCUGAUGGCAGUCAACCAGACAUAACGUAGUGCAAGAGCUGGGACACAUGGCAUAUGAUUGACGAUUCAUAUUUUCGAUAACGUUACGUUGUACGAUUACGAUUAUUAUUUUAUUGAAAGAAUUAUUAAUAUUAUUAUUAUUCUGUAUGAUUAUCAUUACGUGUACUACCAGAAUCAAUGUCACUGAUUUUAAUAUUAUACCACGAAUUGUUGCAAUUAAAAUGAUCAUCGUCAUUGUCAUGAUACAUAUAAUUGAUACAUUUGCACAUUAUCAUUGCAGUCUCGAUAUCCAUAGAUAAAAAUUAAUUAUCGGUAUUACGAAGGUUGGUGAAAUCGAAAGAGUCCGAUGAAUAUGAUUUUGAAGUCGGCAAAACUUCUUCAGAGCUUAUUGUUAGCGUUAGAGUAUAUUAUAUUGCGCUAAUUCGAUAGUCAACUGCACGACGGUGAAUUAUAAAUAUACGAAUGUAACGAUGUAAAUUAUUUUGUAUGAUAAUAUAAUACGACGGGGUGGGUCGGUGGAAAAAGGGUGUGAGUGGAGAAAUUCAAAAUACCAGUGAGAGUUCGUUUUCUUGAUAACAAAAAAAAAAAAAGUGUUAUUCAUAAUGACGUCGAGAAAUGAACUUAUAUAUAUAUAUGUACCCUUUUUUUUUAACAUGAGCCCCUGAAUUUUGAACAGGUGAAACAUAAUAAAUUAGCAAAAUGAAUCUCGUGUGCGGCAAACGCAUUUCCUUGUGUAAUUAUAUCAUCAUACAUAUUACAAUAUACGUAGCUAUGUACAGUAAAUGAUUACCUGUUUGUUUCGUUGAUCGUUUGAUUUGUGUUAUAAGGGACAUGUAUUGUAUGCAUAAAAAUUGUAUAUGAAGAAAAUUUCGCGCAGCGAAAGCACCUGUAAAACACCGUCGGUAGUUCGACUAUAAACCAGAUGAAUAAAUUUCUAUAAUAUUUAUAGAAGAGAAUACAAAAACAGUGAAUAUAAAAUUGAUAAGAAGGAAGUUAGGAUUAAUUGAUUAAAGAAAUGAAAGAAACAGACACACGUAACUGAUAGGGUGAAAGAGAGGGGGUGGGAAAGUCAGGAAUUCGUAAUCCACAAGUUAUCGGUGCCGAAAAAAACUUAGCCGAGCAUAUGCAUAUAUAUCCAUGUAUAUAAAUACAUACACAUCUUAUUAUAAUUAAAGACAUUGUUAUUAU
Molecule: RNA transcript, 7017 nt
Organism: Athalia rosae (coleseed sawfly)
Lineage: Eukaryota; Metazoa; Arthropoda; Insecta; Hymenoptera; Athaliidae
Gene name: paired box protein Pax-6-like
Exons: 10
Source: RefSeq, a predicted model, not a curated record